UUGAACGCUGGCGACAUGCCUUACCCCUGCAAGUCGAACGGCAGCACGGGUGCUUGCACCUGGUGGCGAGUGGCGAACGGGUGAGUAAUACAUCGGAACAUGUCCUGUAGUGGGGGAUAGCCCGGCGAAAGCCGGAUUAAUACCGCAUACGAUCUACGGAUGAAAGCGGGGGACCUUCGGGCCUCGCGCUAUAGGGUUGGCCGAUGGCUGAUUAGCUAGUUGGUGGGGUAAAGGCCUACCAAGGCGACGAUCAGUAGCUGGUCUGAGAGGACGACCAGCCACACUGGGACUGAGACACGGCCCAGACUCCUACGGGAGGCAGCAGUGGGGAAUUUUGGACAAUGGGCGAAAGCCUGAUCCAGCAAUGCCGCGUGUGUGAAGAAGGCCUUCGGGUUGUAAAGCACUUUUGUCCGGAAAGAAAUCCUUGGCCCUAAUACGGUCGGGGGAUGACGGUACCGGAAGAAUAAGCACCGGCUAACUACGUG
This 485-nucleotide ribosomal RNA is filed under the name uncultured bacterium. RNAcentral describes it as "partial 16S ribosomal RNA". It matches the Rfam family "Bacterial small subunit ribosomal RNA", at positions 30 to 507 of the family's 1533-position model. The record is from RNAcentral.